Molecule: ribosomal RNA, 451 nt
Filed under: Streptococcus gordonii
Lineage: Bacteria; Bacillati; Bacillota; Bacilli; Lactobacillales; Streptococcaceae
Description: bacterial SSU rRNA
Rfam family: Bacterial small subunit ribosomal RNA
Source: RNAcentral
GACGAACGCUGGCGGCGUGCCUAAUACAUUCAAGUAGAACGCACAGUUUAUACCGUAGCUUGCUACACCAUAGACUGUGAGUUGCGAACGGGUGAGUAACGCGUAGGUAACCUGCCUGGUAGCGGGGGAUAACUAUUGGAAACGAUAGCUAAUACCGCAUAAUAUUAAUUAUUGCAUGAUAAUUAAUUGAAAGGUGCAAUUGCACCACUACCAGAUGGACCUGCGUUGUAUUAGCUAGUAGGUGAGGUAACGGCUCACCUAGGCAACGAUACAUAGCCGACCUGAGAGGGUGAUCGGCCACACUGGGACUGAGACACGGCCCAGACUCCUACGGGAGGCAGCAGUAGGGAAUCUUCGGCAAUGGACGAAAGUCUGACCGAGCAACGCCGCGUGAGUGAAGAAGGUUUUCGGGAUCGUAAAAGCUCUGUGUAAAGAGAAAGAAACGGGUGUG